AUGUGUGAAACACAGGCUUUUCCCCCUCCCACUCUUAUAUUUUCUCACCUUUUCGUAUUCCCGUCUCCCCUCUCUUGCCCUCUCUCAGUCGACCAUUUCUCAUUUCUUUUUUCUCCUUCUCUCACAGUUUUCCCGCGUGACCUCAGUCGACCAUUUUUUGUUUUGGUCUACCUACACAUAAUGACAUCCAACCGGCGAUGACAUCGGUAGCGGCAUCUCUCUCAACAUUUUCAUCCGUGUUUGAAUCCGAAUCUGAGAAUAUCUUCUUUUCACUGUUGGUAAUGUCCUUUGCUUGAAUGAGCUCAUCCAACCGUAAUACAUCAAAAAUAGGAUCAAAAUAUGGGRAGUCCAUAAAGAGAGGGAUUAUAUCAUUCUUCUCAAUUGAUGAGAGCAGAUUAACUCAAGUUGAUGAGCUCCGAUUCAUGCCCUACUACAUCUCCAAGCACUCAUGGGGUUUGCUCCGCCAAAGAACAAAGCUUCUGUGUCGUAAAUGUGGGAACCUUGUUGGUCAUGCUUAUGAAGACAAUACUUUCUCUUACCCCUCUGUACCAGAUGGAUCAGAUUCAAGCUCAGGGAGUGGGGUUUCCUUUUGUCGAAAGUAUGAUGUCAAAAUUCGUUCCUUACAGCCUUCCUCUUCUGAAGAAUCUGGUGUUCCUCUUUUCAUGUGAUGCAUAUGAGAAGGUUCAUCACAUAUUCUGCCUCCUUUCUGAAGAACCUUAAAGUUCAAACAACCAUUCCAGAUGUUGGAGAUUAUAGAGAGGUUAUCUUUAGUUUGUAAUCGAGUUCCUUGAUUGCUGAACCAUGCAAAAGGUGUUAUUUUGGUCAUUCAACUGCAUUAUCAAGGUCUUCUUCGGCAUGAUAUCCUUAACAGGCAUCACUCAGAACUUGCUAUUUAUGGACAUGGUUGUUACUAGCAUGCAUCAUUAUUUCUACUUGGAGUGCUUGUUUGUUGGAUGACAUUGGCAGCAAUGAGAACCAGCAUUCAACAAUGCUUUGUGAUAGGAGUGAGUGCUGUUGAGAAUGUAUGUUUCUCCAAUAAAAGAGAUUAGAGGUGUGGAUGAUUUACAACUAAAGCUUGUUAAUAAGCCAGCUGUUGGAAAUGUACCUAGACAUCCACAACAAGGACAACAAAUUGCCAUUGAAGUGCAGAAAGAAGGGUUAAAUGUUUCCUUGAAGUCUCGUGAAGGAUUUCUGAUAUUCUUUUUAAUCAUAACUGGUGCUACUUCAACGAUGGUGAAAAAAGUGGGUAUUAUCCGAUGACAUAGCUUUAUUGGUUCAAGCAUGGCAAGAGAAAGAUUAUAGAAAGCAUGGACAUGUUUAUGGAACUUAUCUCCUCAUAUGUUAGAGUUAAUGAAGGAAGUGAAGUAGACCCACCUUUGAGGAUGGAAUUAGCAUGCACGCUAUGGUGAUUCGGAAAGUUGAAAAGAUUCUUUUCUUAUGGUUGCCCAUAUUGGAGUUCAAAGGGUUGACAAUUGCCAAUUUUUGUCUGGAUUGAAACUCUACCAUCUUUGAUUCUGUUUUUUAUGUAUGAUGUACAAAUUGUUGUAUAUGCAUCACAAAAAUAUAUGACCAUAUUACAAUUUUGUAAAUGGGUUUUACUUCAUGUUUACUGAUACAAUCAAUAUCCUUGUAAGGAGAGAGAACUUUGAAGCCAAAGAAUAAUCAUUAUUUGUAUUUGUA
Molecule: long non-coding RNA, 1680 nt
Organism: Nelumbo nucifera (sacred lotus)
Lineage: Eukaryota; Viridiplantae; Streptophyta; Magnoliopsida; Proteales; Nelumbonaceae
Source: RefSeq, a predicted model, not a curated record